UGGUGUAAGCCCGUAGGGAGGGACAUAGGCAAAUCCGUGUCCCACAUAUCCUGAGAGGUGAUGCGUAGCCGUAGCGGCGAAAUCCAUGAUCCUAUGCUGCCGAGAAAAGCCUCUAGCGAGCUGGUACAUGGCCCGUACCCCAAACCGACACAGGUGGUCAGGUAGAGAAUACUAAGGCGAUCGAGAGAACUGUGGUUAAGGAACUCGGCAAAAUGCCCCCGUAACUUCGGGAGAAGGGGGACCAGUCCUGGUGACGACAUUUACUGUCUGAGCUGGGGUUGGUCGCAGAGACCAGAGAGAAGCGACUGUUUACUAAAAACACAGGUCCGUGCGAAGUCGUAAGACGAUGUAUACGGACUGACGCCUGCCCGGUGCUGGAAGGUUAAGAGGACCGGUCAGCCACUUCGGUGGCGAAGCUGAGAAUUUAAGCCCCAGUAAACGGCGGUGGUAACUAUAACCAUCCUAAGGUAGCGAAAUUCCUUGUCGGGUAAGUUCCGACCUGCACGAAUGGCGUAACGACUUCUCUGCUGUCUCAACCACAGACUCGGCGAAAUUGCAGUACGAGUAAAGAUGCUCGUUACGCGCGGCAGGACGAAAAGACCCCGGGACCUUCACUAUAGCUUGGUAUUGGUGUUCGGUUCGUUUUGUGUAGGAUAGGUGGGAGACUGUGAAACUCGCACGCCAGUGUGGGUGGAGUCAUUGUUGAAAUACCACUCUGACCGUAUUGGACAUCUAACCUCGGACCAUGAUCUGGUUCAGGGACAGUGCCUGGUGGGUAGUUUAACUGGGGCGGUUGCCUCCCAAAAAGUAACGGAGGCGCCCAAAGGUUCCCUCAGCCUGGUUGGCAAUCAGGUGUUGAGUGUAAGUGCACAAGGGAGCUUGACUGUGAGACGUACAUGUCGAGCAGGGACGAAAGUCGGGACUAGUGAUCCGGCACCGGCAAGUGGAAGCGGUGUCGCUCAACGGAUAAAAGGUACCCCGGGGAUAACAGGCUGAUCUUCUCCAAGAGUCCAUAUCGACGGGAUGGUUUGGCACCUCGAUGUCGGCUCGUCGCAUCCUGGGGCUGGAGUAGGUCCCAAGGGUUGGGCUGUUCGCCCAUUAAAGCGGCACGCGAGCUGGGUUUAGAACGUCGUGAGACAGUUCGGUCUCUAUCCGCCGCGCGCGUAAGAAACUUGAGGAAACCUGUCCCUAGUACGAGAGGACCGGGACGGACGAACCUCUGGUGUGCCAGUUGUUCCACCAGGAGCACCGCUGGUUAGCUACGUUCGGAAGGGAUAACCGCUGAAAGCAUCUAAGCGGGAAGCCUGUUCCAAGAUGAGGUUUCUCACCACCUAGCGUGGUUAAGGCCCCCCACAGACCAU
This 1361-nucleotide ribosomal RNA is filed under the name metagenome. RNAcentral's name for it is "bacterial LSU rRNA". It matches the Rfam family "Bacterial large subunit ribosomal RNA", at positions 1508 to 2848 of the family's 2925-position model. The record is from RNAcentral.